This 488-nucleotide ribosomal RNA is filed under the name uncultured bacterium. RNAcentral's name for it is "partial 16S ribosomal RNA". It matches the Rfam family "Bacterial small subunit ribosomal RNA", at positions 28 to 507 of the family's 1533-position model. The record is from RNAcentral.
GAUGAACGCUAGCGGCAGGCCUAAUACAUGCAAGUCGGACGGGAUCCAUUGAUAGCUUGCUAUCAAUGGUGAGAGUGGCGCACGGGUGCGUAACGCGUGAGCAACCUGCCUCCAUCAGGGGGAUAGCCUCUCGAAAGAGAGAUUAACACCGCAUAAUAUCAACAGUUCGCAUGUUCAGUUGAUUAAAUAUUUAUAGGAUGGAGAUGGGCUCGCGUGACAUUAGCUAGUUGGUAGGGUAACGGCUUACCAAGGCGACGAUGUCUAGGGGCUCUGAGAGGAGAAUCCCCCACACUGGUACUGAGACACGGACCAGACUGCUACGGGAGGCAGCAGUAAGGAAUAUUGGUCAAUGGGCGGAAGCCUGAACCAGCCAUGCCGCGUGCAGGAUGACUGCCCUAUGGGUUGUAAACUGCUUUUGUCCAGGAAUAAACCUAAAUACGAGUAUUUAGCUGAAUGUACUGGAAGAAUAAGGAUCGGCUAACUCCGUG